This 13069-nucleotide long non-coding RNA is filed under the name Homo sapiens (human). RNAcentral's name for it is "long non-coding RNA NONHSAT222504.1". Lineage: Eukaryota; Metazoa; Chordata; Mammalia; Primates; Hominidae. The record is from RNAcentral.
CUCAUAUACCCAGCUGUGGUAAAUAAAAAUUUCCCUAGUUUUGGGGUGUGUAAAGAAAACACGGCUUGUCUCCAGUGGCUACCAAAAGGAAACAAACACAAAAAGAAAUGGAAGCUGUGAAAUGCUAACAUCUCUUCAGAGACUUGGAGCCAUUUCCAGAACCCUGGGCUUCUCUUUGUAGUCUGGUUGCUAUGGCUCUGUCUUCGUUACUGCAAAAUACUGUCUGAUAUACUCUGGUAAGUGGUUACAUGAAAGAGUCGAUAACCACAGAGGUGCUGGCAGAUCCCUAUCUUUCAAGCUCUCCUCUCAGCCUGAAGCUUUCUGACGAAGUCUUUCCUCCCAGCUUCUCAUUGCUUCUGGAGCUGCCAGUAAUUAAAGAGACACAGGAAGAAAUAAAAGAAAAUGCCACUCACAAGGAAUCAAAGAAAACAACACUCAGAACACAUCAGCCAGUUCUCUGCUGAAGCUCUCAGGGGCUCUGUGUGGCAGGAAUACCAAGCUGAAGGUGGGCUGAAUUUUGAUUUAAAAGGAGAAGGGUAGACCUUGCAAAUAUUCUGCCUGGAUAGUACACAUUGUGGGUUAAGAUGUGUCAGUGAGAGUCUCCAGUCUUCAGAUGCAAGUUGAGCUCGUUAUGAUCGACGUGAAUCUGCAUGUUAAAAGGAGACUCGUUGCUGUGGGCAGUAAUGCAGGGAGCUUCUUGAAAUUGCCUUUGCGAGAAAAGUUGUAACGGUGAGCUGAGCUAACCCACCCCACAGUUUGCCUUUCCUUUAAUUAUUCCUGGGCUUUUGGGCCAAGCUGAUUUUGAGAGACAUUUAGGCUGCAGUUUAAAUGAUAAAAAGCCUCCCGUAAAACUCAAUCGCUUUUGUAACGCUAAUGGAAGGCCAUCAGGCUGCGGGGAGGAGAGCAGCCUGGGUUCUGCUAAGAUGCAAACAUGAACAAUUGCCAGCCAUUAUUCCAGAGGUUAUAAGAUAUGCAAUUUCCCCAAUUACUCCUACAAAUAACAUCACUAUUGUAGAACUUAAGAUUGGCCUUUUGAGAUAUCUUUUCAGGCUUUUUGUAUGUCUGACACCCAUGGCUCCACCUGGACCCUCCAACUCUGCUCCUGUGGUCCCACCCAGAAGCAAUUCAGCACACAGGAGAACAGGUGCAACUGGCUAUGAUUUCAUCUCUGCACCAACCAACCAGCUGCAAGCCUAGCCACCCCCACCCCUUCCCCCAAAGAUGCCUUUGAGAAACGCCUAACUUGUGAGCUUUGGAGAAUGAUUUGAGUACUAACUCCAUCUCCCAUGUGGUGUGGCCAGCCUGUCUAUUAAACUCUUCCUUUGCUACAAUACCAUGGUCUUUCUUUGUGUAGGGGGCAGGAAAGAACCCCUUGGGCCAUUACAUUCUAAGAAAACAUUAAGAGUAUCAUGGCUAACCACUUUCUUCUCUCUGCAGCCCCUCCUCAUCUAUGAAUGGAUCUGUGACCAUUUCUGCUUUGGCCUCCUUCUGAAACCACCUUUGCAAACAUCAUGACAGUGACAGAAGUCUAGCAUGGCUGGCUCCAUCUUGCUUCUAGCCUCACAAUCUGGCUAUUCUUGCUCAUUCCUGGGCAUAGGCCAAGCUAACCGUGGGAGGAAUUUAGUUUACAGUUUAACAUUGAAGCAAGGAUGAUAAUAGUUCCUCCCAGAACCCCUCCUUGUUCAGGGACUAAAACUACCUUUGUAAAACUAAUGAAGGGCCACAAGAUUAGGAUUAUGGGAGGGGCCUGAAUUCUGCUGAGAUGUAGGUGUAAACGAUAACCAGCCAUUGUUCCCUAACUUGCUUUCUAUUUUAUUUUUAUUUUUUAAAGAGACAGGGUCUCACUAUAUUGCUCAGGCUGGCCUUGAACUGCUGAGUUCAAGAGAUCCUCCCACCUCAGCCUCCCAAAGUGUUGGAAUUACAGAUGUAAGCCACCAUGCCCAGCCUCCUAGCUUGCUUCUGUAAUCCCUUACUACUCAGGAGUCAUGUGGCAGAAAUUAUAAGAUUUGUGACUUCCCCAAUUGCUCCCGUAGAUAACAUCACUAGUGUAAAACCUAAGAUUGGUCUUUUGAGAUGGUUUUCAGAUUUUUGCAUUAUGGCAACCAACUGACUCUACCCCGACCCAUGACUCAUGACUCAACUAAUCCCGUGGCCCCCACCCAGAGGCUGAGUCAGUGCACAAGGAUUGUUUUCCACAACCCUACAAUUUCAUUCCUAACCAAUCAGCACACCCAAUCCCUAGCCCCCUGCCUGCCAAAAUAUCCUUGAAAAAACCCUACCCUCCAAGCUUUUGGGGAAGCUGAUUUGAGUACUAAACUCUUGUUCUUCCACUUAGCUGGCCCUGUGAUUAUUAAACUCUUUCUCUACUGCAGUACCACUAUCUCAGUGAAUUGGUUUUAUCUGCGCAGCGGGCCAGAAGAACCCAUCAGGUGAUUGUACUUCCCUUCCUUCCCAGUGGAAAAGGGGUUCCUCAUCCAGUCCAGGGGCCCCCAAGAAGCUUCCCUCUUUUUGUAAAUCAGCUUUAUUGUAGUAUAAUUUAUGUACAGUAAAUGGUAUCCAUUUAAAGUAUACAAUUUGUUGAGUUUUGACACCCAUGAAACCGCUGCCAUAAUCAAGACACAAUAUUUCCAUCACCUCCAAAAGUUUCCUUGUGCCUCUUUGCUGUUCAUUCCUUUCUCUCUGCUUCUAACCUUAGACAACCACUGAUCUCCUUUCUGUCACUAUAAAUUAGUUUGCAUUUUCUAGAAUUUCACGUAAGUGUACUUAUGUAGUACGUACUGUUUUGUGUCUGGCUUUUUUACUCAGCAUAAUGAUUUUACAAGUCAUCCAUUUUGUGGGUAGCAGCAGUUGAUUGUGCCUUUUUAUUACUGAGUUGUAUUCCAUUGUAUGGAUGCAGCAGUUUUUGUUUAAGCAUUUUCAUGAUGGUUGAGUUGUUUCUAGCUUGUGGCUAUUGUUUCUCCUCUAUCUUUAAUUGCUUUCUCUCUUCUGCCUCUACCACUUAAUAUAGAGAUAUGUUCAAGUGUCUUUCAUUUAAAAAAAUACUCUCUUGACCCAGCAACUUUAGGUACUCAGUCUCAGAACAACUUGGGAUUUUCUGGUGUAUUCCGGGGAUUUCUAGGCAUAAAAUCUGAAUAAACCAGGCAGGUAAAUUCAAGUGGUCUGUUGCAGUCAUGGGACAAGAUUAUCUUUCCAGAUACAGUUUAUCUAAUCUGGACAUUUCUCAGAGCUGGCCCACAGUCUCUGGAAGUGGCUGCCUCAGACUGGCAUCCCCCUGGGUUAUUUUUCUUCCUCUUUCUGGACUGAAUAACGAUUCUGUGCCCCAGUUUAUCACCUGGAAAUCAGGAAGGAUCUUUACUUAUAAUUAUUUAAAAUUAUAACUAAGUUAAAAUUAGUGAACCAGGUAAAAAUCAAAGAAUAUUGUCAUGGAUGGUUUAUUACUCCAUUCUCACACUGCUAUAAAGAAGUAGCUGAGACUGACUUAUUUAUAAAGGAAACAGGUUUAAUUGACUCACAGUUCCACAUGGCUGGGGAGGCCUCAGGAAACUUACAAUCAUGAUGGAAGGUGAAGGAGAAGCAAGUACCUCUUCACAAGGCAGCAGAAGAGAGAGAAAAGCUUAGGGGAAACUGCCAUUUAUAAAACCAUCAGAUCUCCUGAGAACUCACUAUCAUGAGAACAGCAUGGGGGAAAAUGCCUCCAUGAUCCCAUCAUUUACCAGGCCCCUUCUCAACAGGUGGGAUUAUCGGGAUUACAAUUCAAGAUGAGAUUUGGGUGGGGUCACAGCCAAACCAUAUCAUUCCACCCCUGGACCCUCUCAAAUCUCAUGUUCUCACAUUUCAAAACACAAUCAGGCCUUCCCAACAGUCCCCCAAAGUCUUAUAUCACUCCAGCAUUAAUCCAAAAGUCCAAGUCCAAAGUCUCACCUGAGAUAAUGCAAGUUCCUUCCUCCUAGGAGCCUGUAAAAUCAAAAACAAGUUAGUUACUUCCUAGAUACAAUGGGGGUAUAGGCAUUGGAUAAAUGCUCCCAUUCCAAAUGGAAGAAAUUGGCCAAAACAAAGGGUCUACAGGCCCCAUGCAAGUCUGAAACCCAGUGGGGCAGUCACAUUUUUUUUUUUUUUUUUUGAGAUGGAGUUUUUCUCUUGUUGCCCAGGCUGGAGUGCAAUGGCACAAUCUCAGCUCACCGCAACCUCUGCCUCCUGGGUUCAAGCAGUUCUCCUGCCUCAGCCCCCUGAGUAGCUGAUAUUACAGGCAUGCACCACCAAGCCUGGCUAAUUUGUAAUUUUUUUAGUAGAGACGGGGUUUCUCCAUGUUUGUCAGGCUGGUCUCAAACUCCUGACCUCAGGUGAUCCACCAGCCUCAGCCUCCCAAAGUGCUGGGAUUACAGGCAUGAGCCACCGCACCCGGCCAGGGCAGUCAAAUCUUAAAGCUCCAAAAUGAUCUCCUUUGAUUCCAUCAUGAUGAUGAUGAUGAUGAUGAUGAUGAUGAUGAUGAUGAUCACUAAUCAAGGAGUCUUCCUUUUUGUUGUGUCUCUGUGGUAGAAUAAAGGCCCCCAAAAAUGACCGUAUCUUAAUCUCUGAAACCUGUGAAUAUGUUGCUUUACAUGAGAAAUUGGACUUUGCAGAUGUGGUUAAGGUUAUUGAGAUGGGAACAUUAUCCUGGAUUACCUUGGUGGUGGGCCUGAUGUAUCACAAGGGUCCUUAUAAGAAAGAAGUGGGGAUUGAAAGAUGUUAUGCUUUGCAGAUGGAGGAAGGGGCCACAAACCAAGAAAUGCCAGCAGCCUUUAGAAACUGAAAAGGGCAAGGAAAUGGAUUAUCUCCUAGAGCCUCCAGAAGGAACCAGACCUGCUGACACCUUUAUUUUAGCCUAGUGAAAGCCAUUUCAGGCUUGACCUCCAGAACUGUAAGAUAAUAAAUGUAUUCUGUUGUAAGCCACUAAGUAUGUGGUAAUUUGUUAUGGCAAAAAGAGGAAACUGAGUCUCUAAGUCAAAGCCAGUGCAAUUGGCUAGGAUUCCAAUUUCUGAAUCCUUGGUCACAACUAUUAUGAGUUCCCAGAGGAGAUACAAAGAGAGGACACUCCAAGCAAGUCAACGAUGCUUUUUACUAACUACAACCAUGGUCCCAUGUUUGUAGGUGGACACUGUGGCUUUUGGUGAGCUUUGGUGAGCCCUGGAUGGCCCUCUGUGGGCUUAGUAACCUUGAAAAUGAGGGUAUAAAGCAAUCUGUGGAAAACUGGCCUUUCAAGGGUACUGCUUUGCCUAUAGCUUUGACUUUUCAUUUCACCUACUGAAAAUUAGGUAAUUCAAAUAGAGACACUUGAGAGACAAAUGGUGUUAGACUGCACUCCCCCAAAGUCAAGCCUUAGAGUAAUUUAAUAUAUUGCUGCCACUUUAAUCUGACUAGUAUUCCUGGGUAGAAAGUCUCUUGGGGCCCUAGAUUACUAUUAAUGUAACUUAACCCUUGUGUUGGCAACAUUUACUUGGAUAUAAUUCAUGGAUGGAUCAUGGAUGCUCUCCAGAGAAAAUGCUAAACACAAACAGGAUCGUAUUGGUUUCCAUAUACUUAAUUUCUUGCUGACCUACUCAAUAUGGUUGAAUAUAGACCUAUGAUAUACAGUUUCAAGUGUAUUUUUUGAUAUUUUUAAAGAACCCAUGUGCCAAAUAUAAGCAUUUAGAAAAACUGUUAGCAAAUGGAAUGUAGAGUACCACAAGCUGAGUAUGCAGCAAGCUGACAGCCACACUAGCAUGGUCAUUUAUUGCUUAUUGAAUUUACUCAGAUCAUCUUUGAGUCCAAUGCCAUGCACACAGUAGGUUCUUCAUCAGUAGUUGUUCAAGUCAGAAAUAAAUUUUAAAAAUAUACAUGGCUCCAUUAUAUAUGCGGAAACUGCAAAAUAAGCAUAACUAAAUACCUGAAUUUCCAGGCACUCUGCAGUAGAUCAGAAAGCCCAUGUCCAUUUGAUCAAAGUCCAGGGGAUACACAAUGUUAAGUGCAAGAUGUAUCAAUUCACCAGUGAAACUCCAGAUGGCUUUCCUUCCCACUUCAUCAUGUCACAUCAAUAUGGUAGCUUGUGAGUUGUAUCCACAGUUGACAUCCUAUAGUCUUCAGCUCUAGUAAUUUAAAUUAUUGUACUUUAUUUUGACUACUCAGAAUUGUCUCCUGAAUUAAAUCAACAAACACAAGCAUAUUUAUAUACAUACACCCACACGUAUAUGAAAGUAUGAGUUUACAGUGUAGUUGGAAAAUUAAAAUAUAGGCAGAAAAAAAUUACAAAGUAAAAUAUAAUGUCAAGUGAAUAAAACAGAUAGUUACAAAAUAAAAAUAAUAUUUUUAAAGGUCAAAUUACAAUGAUCUGGUUUGGCCACGAGCCUUUUAAAAAUAUAUAUUGAGUUUUAAUUCAUAUGCCAUACAAUUCACUUAAAGUUGCAAUUCAAUGAUUUUUAGUGUAUUCACAGGGUUGUGCAAACAUCACCACAAUCAAUUUUCAAAUAGUUCAUCAACCUUAAAAUAAACCUUCUACUCAUUAGCAGUCACUCCCAUUUUCUCUUGACCCCUCACUCCCACCCCAGCCCAUCACAAAUCUACUUUCAAGUUCUAUAGUUUUUUCUGUUCUGGACAUUUCAUAGUAAUAGGAUCAUAUGACAUGUGGGGAUUUGUGUCUGACAUCUUUUCCUUAGCAUAAUGGUGUCAAGGUCCAUCCAUAUUAUAGCAUGUAUCAAAACUUCAUUCCAUUUUUCUUUUUCUUCUUCUUUGAGAUAGAGUCUCUGUUGCCCAGGCUGGAGUGCAGUGGCAUGAUCUUGGCUCACUGCAACCUCUGCCUCCCGGGUUCAAGCAAUUCUCCUACCUCAGCCUCCCGAGUAGCUAGGAUUACAGGCGCGUGCCAUCACACACAGCUAAUUUUUUGUAUUUUUAGUAGAGAUGGGGUUUCACCAUGUUAGCCAGGAUGGUCUCCAUCUCCUGACCGCAUGAUCCGACCAGCUCGGCCUCCCAAAGUGCUGGGAUUACAAGUGUGAGCCACCGUGCCCAGCUCCAUUUUUUGUACUAAUAAUAUCUCAUUGUAUAAAUAGACCACAUUUUGUUUAUCCAUUCAUCAGUUGUCAGACAUUUGGGAUGUUUUUACUUUUUGGCUAUUGUGAAUAAUGCUACUAAUAUUUGUGUACAGGUUUUUAUGUGGACAUAUGUUUUCAUUUUGCUUUAGUGUAUAUCUAGGAGUAGAAUUGCUGGGUCAUAUGGUAACUCUAUGUUUAACCUUUUGAGGAACUGCCAGAUUGUUUUUCCAAAGCAGCUGUAUUAUUUUACAUUUCAACUAACAGCAUAGGAGGGUUCCAAUUUCUCCACAUCCUUGUCAAGUCUUGUUAUUGUCAGUCUUUUUAUGAUAGCCACCCUAGUAUAAGUGAAGUGGUAUCUCAGUAUGGUUGGUCAUGAACUUUUUGAUAGGUCCAGGGGUGCAGGAAAAGGAUUUCACAGAAGAAAAGAUCAAGAAGAAAGGCAUAGAGGUAGGAACUCCCUGCCUGACCCCAGCAUGUUAAUUUCACCUGUUGAAGGCAAGUCAUUUUUGUUUGCACAGAAAAUCUGUGUAGGAAAAUAGUGGAAGAUGAAACUAGAAAACUCCCUCAAAGGGAAAACUGCAUAUAUAUAUAAGUGCAGGGUGCUGCAGGCUGGGUUACUGUGUGCAGGAAACAGUAGAGACCUUGAAGUGUGUUCUUUAAUAAAAAUCUUGCUUUAGGAAAAUUAAUUUGGAUAUACAGAACUUUGAGGACAGGAGAGAGAGAGACAGAUGCUGGAUGCAUUGCAUGUGGGUCAGCAAUGGGAUUGGGGUACUGGUUUGGCAUAAGGGAUGACAAGUGGAAACCAAGGAAACCCUUGGAGUUCCAGCUGGGACUCUGGGAGAAUUCUGGUAUCCUAAGACAAAGAAGUCAAGAAGAACAGCUGUUUUGUGGGGUGGGUAAAAGACAGAGCAAUUUUCAUAUUAGAAACUUCAAGUCUGAGGGCAUUUUUGAGAGCAGGAGGCCUGGAACUUGGAGAAAGGUAUUGGUCAGAACAGAGGUUGACUGCCUGCUUUUCUAAGGUCCAUGAGCUAGAGAAUAGUUUUCACACUGUCAAGUGGUUGGGAAAAAAAAAAUCCAAAGAAUAAUAUAUUGUGACAAGUGAAAAUUACAUGAAAUUGAAAUCUCAAUGUUCAUAAAGUUUAUUGGAACACAGCCAUGCCCAUUCAUUGACAUAUGGUCUUUGGCUGAUUUCAUGCUGCAAUAGGAGAGUUGAGUGGUUGCAAUAGAUUGCAUGGCCUGCAAAGCCUGACAAAUUUACUAUCUGGCCCUUUACAGAGAAAGUUUGUUGGCUCCUGAAUUAGUGACAAACUUGGGAGGUAUGGCCUCCCAAUUGUGAUUCUUAAACCUGAAAGAGUGAGAGUGAUCCAAAUUAACAGUGUAUAGAAAAAAGGAGCCAGGGCCAGUCCUUGGGGCUGCUUAUGUUUGGGGACCAGAGAUAGGUAAAAGAAUCAGUGAAGAUAGUAAAUAAGUUGAAAUAAACCUCAAUUUAAUUAAACAUGUCAACUCCCAGACUAUUUUAUUGCUUGGUACUUAAAACACACUCCCAAGAGGAAGAUUAAUUAAUAAAGCUGCAGUGUGGGAUAGCUAUCCAGCUGGAAGCAGCACAGGCCCCUAACAAGGUUUGUUUUUGGCAAAUUCCCAUCUCCAGUCUUCUCUUCUCCCACAAUAGGGUGAAGCAUCCCAUUCCUGCCUUAUCCCCAGAAGGCCUGGCUUCCAGACAUCUGUCUCAGAAAGAGGUAUGAGGCAGAAGGUUCCACUAGGUAAAUUGUUGAUAAAAGCUCAAGUGCAAUUCCUGCCCUAGGAUUUGGACUUGAAUAAAGGGACUCUCAAGACACUGAGGAAUGACUCUCAAUUCUGGAAAGUGUAGGCACUUGCAAAGGGGCAGAGAGUUGUGUGAGAAUAUGGAGGAGGAAGAUUCUUGGAUGGUCCCUCCAAUCAGGCCAGUUGUAUGUGCUACGUAUGUAGGGGUUGGACCCACCCCCUUGUCCAGUGAUCUUGGAGAAGUCACUUAAACGUUCUCUUUUGGUAACUCAUCUGGAAUUAGGGAAUAAAUUCUAAGCAACUUUUAAAUAAGAAGCAUAAAAGCAUUUGAGUCUUCAGAUUUGCUUAAUUGAUCAUUGCAGACGGUUGUGUCAAUAACAAUGACGUUUAGAGGAAAAGGUGAAAUUGGUUUCUUUUUCUUUUCUUGGACUUAGCUCCAGGAGCAGGGAACAGGAAGCCAUUCCCAGAAGUUGCUUUCCCCUCCCACCCCUGAGUACGUGGCAGGGCCAACAGAUGUGGCUGAAUGCCCAGGCCCAGGGCCAUGAGUACUAACCUAUGCCCUGGAAAGCAGGAAACACAUUGUCUUCAUGUACUCUGCAAUUUGGGAGCAAACACCAGCAGCUCUUGCAGGGGGCCUUUGUGGGUCCAAAUUCAAUGGACUGUCUGCUCUCUCUCACCACUGCUCCACCUUUCAUUUGUCUGAACGUGGAAACACACACACACACACACACACACACACACACACACUCCAAGCGCUUUUACUUUUCCUCACUCAACAACAAUGCAGAAAACUUCUGUGACCAAAUAUGUGUGUGUGUGUGUGUGUGUGUGUGUGUGUGUGUGUGUGUGUGUGGCGGGUGGGGGGGUGGGGCAUUUCUCUACACAUCAAGGAGCAGAUCAGCUGCAUGUCCUCUAAUUCAGUUCUGACACUCUCUACCCAGAGAGUGUCAGAUCCCACAGGUUGAGGGCUCAGUCCCCAAGACUGCCCCCACCCCCACUUCUGAUACCAAUUAAAAGCUGCAGGUUAUUUUUCUUGUGCUUCUGACCGACUGGCUAUAAUCAGGUUGCCCACAAUCCCCCUUUCUUGGGUUCAAUUAAUUUGCUGGAGUGGCUCACAGAACUCAGAAAAACACUUAUGUUUACUCAUGUAUUAUAAAAGAUGUUACACAGGAUACAGAUGAAGAGAUGUGUAGGGCGUGGUAUGAGGGAAGGGGUGCAGAGCUUUGAUACCCUCCCUGGGCACCACCCUCCAGGAACCUCUACGUGGUCAGCUAUCUGGAAGCUCUCUGAAUCCUGUCUUCUUGGGUUUUUCUAGAGGCUUUAUUACUUAGGCGUGAUUGAUCAAACCAUUGGCCAUUGGUGAUACACUCAACAUCUCCUCUCCCUUCCCUGGAGGUUGGGAGUGGUGCUAAAAGUUAGUCUUUCUGGGUGACAAACCCCCAUCCUGAAGCUGCCUAGGGGCUGCCUGCUAUCAGUCAACUCAUUAGGGUACAAAAAGACAACACUUUGGAAUUUCUAAGGAUUUUAGGAUUUGUAUGCCAGGAAACAGGGUCAAAGACCAAAUAUACAUCACAAUAUCACAAUUUGCUUGUUUUUUGUUUCAGCUUGGGAUCAGCCUUAUUUUUAAUACACAGAUGCUCUCCUACACAGGAACCCCUUACUUAUUAGGGACCUUUGAGAUUCCUUUUCAGAUCCCCCUGUUGCCAUGGAAUUGUAGCUGGAACAUCCACUCCACUUCCUACUGACUGGCUCCUGACAUUUCUCAGUCCCCAAAUAUCUCACCUUCUCCCAACAGCCUGAAUUUUUGUUUUCUUCACCCAGUUUCUGUUUGCAAUGGCAUUUGUCAGAUUUUCACAUAUCAACAUCCUUCUUAAUAAUGAGAACCUUUUAGGCAUUCACAUUCUCAUAUAGAUCCACUCAGUCAGAUUGCUUUCCACUUAGCUGAAUCCACCAUAUAGAGAAAAGGAAGCUUCUAUUGCAGGAAUCAGAAGACGAGAUGAUUCUAGAACAUGAAAUAUUGGUAAUGGCUCAUCAGGAUGGGGUGCUAGUGGGAGGGAUAGGAAAGCCUGGGAGCCCUGGGAAACCUGAUAAUCCCAAAAGAAAGGCAAUAGAACGUGGCAAAGGAGCAUAGGAAAGGAGCUUGUUGACCCACACCUGCGCUGCACUAUCUGUAAGAGUAGUUCUGCGACAGCACCAUGCAGAGGAAACUCCUUUAGUCCACUUCUUCACCUGCUCCUCUUCCCCUUAUUUUCUUCUUUUCCCUCUGCCUCAGUAGAGUGAGUCAAAGUGGAGUCCUCUGAAAUGUACUUUGGCCCUAGAGUCCUAUGGAUCCGUGUUCACAUUUUGAACAAGUUACUCAAUCACUCUGAACCCUAGUGUGUACAUCUACAAAACAGGGGAUCUACCCUGAAGGGAUGCUGUGAGAAUUAGGUGGAAUAAUACAUGUAAAGGCAUCUGCACAAGUUAGUUUUUUUUCUUCUCUGAAAGCACUGACUGGAGCUGCUCAGGAAGUACCAACUGGUGCCAGUUCCCCAAUGAAGUAUGUGUGUGAUAAAUUAUCCUGCAUAUCUAUAUGCACACACCCCUAUUCACUUAGCUUAUCCAAAAAAACUAGAAGCAGCAUAGAGGAACAACAUUAGCAGACUUUGCUUGGGGGAAAUCAGACCUUGGAUUCCCCUGCCUCCCAACCCCCAACCUCACCAAAUUAGUAUAUUAUCAGGUUCCAUCUAAGCGUGUACCCAUGGCAAAUGCACUGUUCACUGGUAGUUAAUGGAAAUAAUGCCCAUCCAAUAUGGGGCCACCAAAACCUUCAUAAUACAGUGCGGUUGCUGACCUGGAAAUGAUCUCAGCAAGCAUCUGGCCCGCUAACCAUCAAACCCUCCCACUUCCUUCUAUAUAUAGGAAAAUGGAGGCACAGAGAAUUUAAGUGCUUUUAGAAGGUAAUAGUUGAGAAAAAACUAGGACUAGAACUCAAGGCACCUUGACUCACAAUCCAAACUAUCUUUCUACCACUCCUGGCUGAGUUCAUGAAUGUAAAAAGAGACUGUUAAAAAAAAAAAUUAAAUAUAUAACACCUUGCAAGAUGUUAACCGCCAUUACUUAUUGUUUUAAUUAUAAAUUACCCAUCUUUCUAGAUGCUUCUGCAGGGAUCUUGACAAGUCAUUUCUGAUCCUGCCCUAUGAAACAAUCUCUCAGAGACUCAAGGAACUCCAGAGGCUACAUCUGGAGGGAUAUAAGGGGGAAACUGAGCAAAGAGGAGGCAGUGGAACAUAAUUUUGCAGGCAGAAAUUUAAAAAUAUAUGUUUAGUGCAAACUCUUCUAGUUCUGUGUGAUUUUGUUUCUGUUUGUUUUAAACCAAGAAAAAACACCACAUUCUUGAUUGCAAGGAAGUUUUUACCAGAAUAAGAGGCCAUGAAUUCCCAUGAGCCACCCUGCCUAACAAAGCCAGAAGACCCCCUGGCUUAAAGGUUGCAAGUUAAAGAUUACAGGUCAAAACAUUUUAAAAGCAGCAACAAUGCAAACUUUAUAUAACAAAUGACAAAGAUAUAUAACGAUAUAAUAAUAAUAAAGAAAUAGCUAUAUAAAAAGAGCUAGGUAGAUGAUGGAUAAAUGGAUGGGAAAGAAGGAAGGAAAGAGGGGAGGAAGGAGGGAGGGAAGGAAGAAAGAAAGAAGGUAAGAAGGAAAUAGGCCUAAGUGCUGUAGUUGAUCUCUGGUGGCAAGCAAUUUUAGUUUUCCAACUUUUGCUUCUCUGCAUUUUACAAAUUCUCGUACGUUCUUAAACAACAACAACAAUAACACCCACCCUAAUGAUCAAUGUUAUUUGCUAAAAGGGUUGACAAUGACAAACACAAACCCCUUGAAAUUUCCAGUUCUCCUUUCCAGUAAAUCUGCUUUUGCAUGGGCUCCUCCGCAUUCCUCAUUCACAUCAAGGAUUCAAGAAAUUCCACUCAACUGAAGUCCAGAUCACAUCUAAGAUUGAUCGUUCCACAUUUAAACCUUUCUCUGAUCCCUUCAGUGACUUUGCCUCGCUUGAGAGAAAAUGACAACCGACUCACUGUUUCAUUUUCCCUUCCAUUCAGCCAAGCAAUCCAGGGCCCUAUUCCGUCGUUUGCUUUUCAUCCAUAGGGCUUCCAAUUCACCCAUGUGAAAACAUCUUUGCAAUUACAGCCUUCACUCAGUGUCCCCAGGUUAACUUCAGGACCCUGAUUGAAGAAUCUGAAACCACUUGACAAACUAAUUUGAAUUGCAAACAGCUACCAACACAAAUC